Molecule: ribosomal RNA, 722 nt
Filed under: uncultured fungus
Lineage: Eukaryota; Fungi
Description: eukaryotic LSU rRNA
Rfam family: Eukaryotic large subunit ribosomal RNA
Source: RNAcentral
CCCGCUGAACUUAAGCAUAUUAUUAGGCGGAGGAAAAGAAAUUAACUAAGAUUCCCUCAGUAACUGCGAGUGAACCGGGAGGGAGCCCAGCCCUGAAUCGGGGGGGAUUCGUCUUCUACCGACGUGUGGGGUUCGUUGGGGUUGGUCAGGCACUUAAGUGAUACCGAAGUCAUCCUGGAAAGGUGUGCCAUAGAGGGUGAUAGUCCCGUAGGUGUUGCUUGAGGGUCAGACUGAUUUCGACUAGAGUCGAGCUGUUUGGGAGUACAGCUCUAACGGGUGAUAAAUUUCAUCCAAGGCUAAAUAUUAACACGAGACCGAUAGCGAACAAGUACCGCGAGGGAAAGAUGCAAAGAACUCUGAAAAGAGAGUUAAAAGUACAUGAAACCGUCGUGAGGUAAAGCGGUGGCCAGGGUACUUUCCUCUGGUUGAGGGAUCAACUUACGGGAGUUUCAGGGCGUUCGUUCAUGGGUGUUCGUAAGGGCAUCUUGGGCGGGCGUUUUUGGGAUUUCUGUGAGGGUAUUCCCUUGAUUGGAGGGUCACUGUCUGUUCUGUUCGAUUUUGAAGGCUUGGUAGUUGUCCUCGGACGAUGAAGGGCUUUAGAGAUUGGACGGGACAGAGGUUUCCUCAUUCUGGGGAGAUUGGGUAGCGCUUAGCUCUUAAGGAUGCUACCCCCGACAGUGAUUUUCACGGUACCAUGGUUACUGACCCGUCUUGAAACACGG